This 549-nucleotide ribosomal RNA is filed under the name uncultured bacterium. Its description in RNAcentral is "bacterial SSU rRNA". It matches the Rfam family "Bacterial small subunit ribosomal RNA", at positions 355 to 895 of the family's 1533-position model. The record is from RNAcentral.
UAGGGAAUCUUCGGCAAUGGACGGAAGUCUGACCGAGCAACGCCGCGUGAGUGAAGAAGGUUUUCGGAUCGUAAAGCUCUGUUGUAAGAGAAGAACGAGUGUGAGAGUGGAAAGUUCACACUGUGACGGUAUCUUACCAGAAAGGGACGGCUAACUACGUGCCAGCAGCCGCGGUAAUACGUAGGUCCCGAGCGUUGUCCGGAUUUAUUGGGCGUAAAGCGAGCGCAGGCGGUUAGAUAAGUCUGAAGUUAAAGGCUGUGGCUUAACCAUAGUACGCUUUGGAAACUGUUUAACUUGAGUGCAAGAGGGGAGAGUGGAAUUCCAUGUGUAGCGGUGAAAUGCGUAGAUAUAUGGAGGAACACCGGUGGCGAAAGCGGCUCUCUGGCUUGUAACUGACGCUGAGGCUCGAAAGCGUGGGGAGCAAACAGGAUUAGAUACCCUGAUAGUCCACGCCGUAAACGAUGUGUGCUAGGUGUUAGACCCUUUCCGGGGUUUAGUGCCGCAGCUAACGCAUUAAGCACUCCGCCUGGGGAGUACGACCGCAAGGUU